GAGAGAGAGAGAGAGAGAGAGAGAGAGAGAGAGAGAGAGAGAAAGAGAGAGAGUGCUUCAUAAUCUAUAAGAGUCUGUGAAGAAGACCUGAUAACAGUCUGUGAAUUUUUGCCUAUCUAGCUUGAUUAUUCUGAAGUCCAAUAAAGUUUGUAGAUAGAUCUAAUUGCACCUCCAUAUUUUUCUAUAUCUCAAGAAAUGAAGAGUUUUUAAAAAUAUUUAUAUACCA
This is a long non-coding RNA of Varanus komodoensis (Komodo dragon), 226 nucleotides long. RefSeq lists it as uncharacterized. NCBI's taxonomy places the organism in Eukaryota, Metazoa, Chordata, Lepidosauria, Squamata, Varanidae. The transcript is spliced from 2 exons. The record is from RefSeq and is a predicted model, not a curated record.